AUCUACUCAAAGUGCUUGGGUGGAGGUAUGCGUUUGGGGCCGGGGGCGUGCGUCUCGUGCGUACGUUCUCGCGCUUUGGCGCUUCCUCUUUUGCUCACCUCUGUGCUCUUACUCGGAGGGGGUGACUUCUGUGUCACCUUGAGUAAAUCAUGGUGCUCACAGCAGUCGUGCGGGCCCUGUGCCCUGUGAACAGUCUAUGCGGACUGAAUUGGUUUUGCAAGGCAUGACGAAACAUGACGUCGCUGCUGGUCGCGAGUGUGAGGGCGCAGUCCUCGUGGCUGUGCCGAGCGGUUUGCCAGUAGUGACGUAAUGAUCAAUGGAGACGGUAGCUGGCAUUGGUAUUGCGCGGCGAGAGGUGAAAUUCUGCGACCCCCGCAAGACCUCCUAAAGCGAAGGCGUCUGCCAAGGACGUGUUCACCAAUCAUGAACGAAAGUCAGAGGAUCGAAGGCGAUCAGAUACCGCCCUAGUUCUGACCCUAAACGAUGCCAACCAUCAAUCCGCGUGAGCACCCUAUCUAACGGGCUCGGCGGGCAGCUCCCUUCUUCCGGGAAACCAGAGUUUUUGGGUUCCGGGGGGAGUCUGGUUGCAAAGCU
Molecule: ribosomal RNA, 594 nt
Filed under: Cryptorchestia garbinii
Lineage: Eukaryota; Metazoa; Arthropoda; Malacostraca; Amphipoda; Talitridae
Description: bacterial SSU rRNA
Rfam family: Eukaryotic small subunit ribosomal RNA
Source: RNAcentral